RNAcentral lists this transfer RNA (77 nucleotides) under Escherichia coli. RNAcentral's name for it is "tRNA-OTHER". Lineage: Bacteria; Pseudomonadati; Pseudomonadota; Gammaproteobacteria; Enterobacterales; Enterobacteriaceae. RNAcentral also lists the same sequence under 1 other name. The record is from RNAcentral.
GGACUUGUAGAGUUAAGGUAAACCCCCAGUCGCCAAUAGGCUUCUGGAAUUGCAGGUAUCGAAUCCUGCCGAGUCCC